CUUACAUACCUGCUGAAGUCACCUUAUCUUUACUCAAAUGUUGUAGUUUAUGUUAAUCUUGUUUUUAUGAAUGAAGCUAGAAUAAUUAUAGGGUGUCUACUUGAGCAGUGGCUCUUGGACUUUCUUGUACGACAGAACUGAUUGCUGCCCUGCUCUUUCCUUGGUUCAGACUCUUUGGUUAAACCCAAGCCAAGAAGAUCUUCAGCUGCAGCAAUAAAGUUUCCAGCUUUCUUUAUUUCUGACUCCCCCAUGGUGAACAUCACCAUUAGUCUUCCCGAAAGAAGCGCACAGCAAUGCUGUGCCUCUAGCUGAACAAACAUAACCCACCUAUAAUAACUGUUGAGUCUUUGCAAGAAGUAGGAUGUUGCAGUAGGCAUUAACGAGGUAUCAGGUUGUGACGUGAGAGGACCCCUGCUGUGUUGUAAUAGGCGAUAAUGGGGUAUCGGUUGUGACGCGAUAGGCCCUCCCCCGCUUUGUGAGUAACGUGUGAGUAAUGUGUGACACAUGCUUAAGGGGCAUAAGCGAAACGGGAUGUGUAUUUAAGGGGUUGUCGGUGCCUUAAUAAAUUGCCAUUUGCUUCUCCAUCAUAUUGGUGUCAGUGUUGCUAUGGCCCUAGCGAAUGCAGAUCGCUAGCCCCCUGGUGGUGCGGCCUCAGACAUGGUGGUUGCCGGAGUUCUUCUGGACUGAGCAGGAGCCCUUUUGCAGCCUCCCUAGAUGUUGAAUCAUUAUCAUAAUAAUAACGCGAAGCUGAUGGCUUCCCUUGGUGACCGGGAUCAUUCUGACUACUUGAGAAAGGACUAAAUGAGAUGGCAAAGACUGCAGGAACUUAAGAACUGAAGAUUCUCCUCAGUGAUCCUACCACUAUGCUAAGUAAUCAUGAUGGAUGCUCACCAGCCCUCAUACACUUACACUGUAACAGAUCCGUUAUCCUCAAGUACUAGGUCUUAUUCAGAAACCUGACUACAU
This 966-nucleotide long non-coding RNA is filed under the name Phasianus colchicus (ring-necked pheasant). RNAcentral describes it as "lncRNA (ENSPCLG00000018485.1)". The record is from RNAcentral. Lineage: Eukaryota; Metazoa; Chordata; Aves; Galliformes; Phasianidae.